AUUGAACGCUGGCGGCAGGCCAACCCCUGCAAGUCGCGCGGAUGAAGGGAGCUUGCUCCUGGAUUCAGCGGCGGACGGGUGAGUAAUGCCUAGGAAUCUGCCUGGUAGUGGGGGAUAACGUCCGGAAACGGGCGCUAAUACCGCAUACGUCCUGAGGGAGAAAGUGGGGGAUCUUCGGACCUCACGCUAUCAGAUGAGCCUAGGUCGGAUUAGCUAGUUGGUGGGGUAAAGGCCUACCAAGGCGACGAUCCGUAACUGGUCUGAGAGGAUGAUCAGUCACACUGGAACUGAGACACGGUCCAGACUCCUACGGGAGGCAGCAGUGGGGAAUAUUGGACAAUGGGCGAAAGCCUGAUCCAGCCAUGCCGCGUGUGUGAAGAAGGUCUUCGGAUUGUAAAGCACUUUAAGUUGGGAGGAAGGGCAGUAAGUUAAUACCUUGCUGUUUUGACGUUACCAACAGAAUAAGCACCGGCUAACUUCGUG
RNAcentral lists this ribosomal RNA (483 nucleotides) under uncultured bacterium. RNAcentral describes it as "partial 16S ribosomal RNA". It matches the Rfam family "Bacterial small subunit ribosomal RNA", at positions 30 to 507 of the family's 1533-position model. The record is from RNAcentral.